AUGAACGCUGGCGGCGUGCCUAAUACAUGCAAGUCGAGCGAACAGACGAGGAGCUUGCUCCUCUGACGUUAGCGGCGGACGGGUGAGUAACACGUGGAUAACCUACCUAUAAGACUGGGAUAACUUCGGGAAACCGGAGCUAAUACCGGAUAAUAUAUUGAACCGCAUGGUUCAAUAGUGAAAGACGGUUUUGCUGUCACUUAUAGAUGGAUCCGCGCCGCAUUAGCUAGUUGGUAAGGUAACGGCUUACCAAGGCAACGAUGCGUAGCCGAGCUGAGAGGGUGAUCGGCCACACUGGAACUGAGACACGGUCCAGACUCCUACGGGAGGCAGCAGUAGGGAAUCUUCCGCAAUGGGCGAAAGCCUGGCGGAGCAACGCCGCGUGAGUGAUGAAGGUCUUCGGAUCGUAAAACUCUGUUAUUAGGGAAGAACAAAUGUGUAAGUAACUAUGCACGUCUUGACGGUACCUAAUCAGAAAGCCACGGCUAACUACGUG
Molecule: ribosomal RNA, 496 nt
Filed under: uncultured bacterium
Lineage: Bacteria
Description: partial 16S ribosomal RNA
Rfam family: Bacterial small subunit ribosomal RNA
Source: RNAcentral